GAUGAACGCUAGCGGCAGGCUUAACACAUGCAAGUCGAGGGGUAGAGGAAGCUUGCUUCCUUGAGACCGGCGCACGGGUGCGUAACGCGUAUACAAUCUACCUUUUACAGAGGGAUAGCCCCAGAGAAAUUUGGAUUAAUACCUCAUAGUAUUUUCGGAUCGCAUGAUUUGAUUAUUAAAGUUCCAACGGUAAAAGAUGAGUAUGCGUCCCAUUAGCUAGAUGGUAAGGUAACGGCUUACCAUGGCAAUGAUGGGUAGGGGUCCUGAGAGGGAGAUCCCCCACACUGGUACUGAGACACGGACCAGACUCCUACGGGAGGCAGCAGUGAGGAAUAUUGGACAAUGGGCGAAAGCCUGAUCCAGCCAUGCCGCGUGUGUGAAGAAGGU
Molecule: ribosomal RNA, 387 nt
Filed under: uncultured bacterium
Lineage: Bacteria
Description: bacterial SSU rRNA
Rfam family: Bacterial small subunit ribosomal RNA
Source: RNAcentral